Phyllostomus discolor (pale spear-nosed bat) is the source of this 408-nucleotide long non-coding RNA. RefSeq lists it as uncharacterized. Lineage: Eukaryota; Metazoa; Chordata; Mammalia; Chiroptera; Phyllostomidae. The record is from RefSeq and is a predicted model, not a curated record. The transcript has 2 exons.
GAUAAGGUUUCUACACACAGCACACACACCUGCCAUCUGGCUGAAAGAGCACUAGUUCCAUUUCUCAUGUCAUUUUGUGUGUGGACAGGCUGCACGUAGCAGGCUCUGAGGCAGCUAUUAUGGAGAAGCUGCUUAGGGGGACCAGGAUAUUCAAUGCCACUGACCUGCAAAGGAUCAGAGGUCAUUUGCUCCAGAUGGCUUCUAAUGCAAAGCAGCUCCCUUGGGCCACCAAAAUGACGUUGUGAUUCCCUCUGGCCCUGGCUCUUCUGACCCAGGGGUUGCUGCAUCAGCUGAAGGAAGUGGAGCCCUGAUGUAAUGCUUUGGAUAUUCCAGCCAAACAAGCACUGGUCCUACUGAAAAAUGAGCUUGUCUCAUUAUCCACCUUGAUUAAAUUUAUCAGAUAAUGUC